GGGCGAGUUUCAGAUUCGAUUGCGGGUAGAGAAUGAGAAAAGCAUACCAAAGGCUCGGCUUUGUAAAAACGGAAACUUAAAUUUAAAUGCAGAAUCGAAAGAUUCCAAAGUUAUUGCUUUCCCCUCUUUCAGAGCGGUAGGCGUAGCUUGUGCAGCUUAACUUAAGCUGUCCGUCGUAACUUUUUCACCGUUGGAAAGUUCUCGGCGUUAAUUAAACGGUAAAACUUUUCCGCGUUCUGCUGCGCGCGGGCAAGUGAAUUUCAGCGGCAUGCGCUUUGCGUUCCCCGUCCGUCGGGGAUACAAGGUUAAGUUCAAAGGCGGAAUAAGUAUGUAGAAAGCUCAAACGAAACUUGUAAGACGCGGGUGCGAGUCCCGCCUCGUCCACCA
This 387-nucleotide transfer-messenger RNA is filed under the name Clostridia bacterium. It matches the Rfam family "transfer-messenger RNA". From Rfam's summary of the family: Bacterial tmRNA, also known as 10Sa RNA or SsrA, is named for its dual tRNA and mRNA-like properties. Its role is to liberate the mRNA from a stalled ribosome. The record is from RNAcentral. Lineage: Bacteria; Bacillati; Bacillota; Clostridia.